RNAcentral lists this ribosomal RNA (378 nucleotides) under uncultured bacterium. RNAcentral's name for it is "bacterial SSU rRNA". It matches the Rfam family "Bacterial small subunit ribosomal RNA", at positions 524 to 898 of the family's 1533-position model. The record is from RNAcentral.
CACGUAGGGGGCAAGCGUUGUCCGGAUUUAUUGGGCGUAAAGAGCUCGUAGGUGGUUCGGUAAGUCAGGUGUGAAACCUCCAGGCUCAACCUGGAGACGCCACUUGAUACUGCUGUGACUGGAGUCCGGUAGGGGAGCGUGGAAUUCCUGGUGUAGCGGUGAAAUGCGCAGAUAUCAGGAGGAACACCAGCGGCGAAGGCGGCGCUCUGGGCCGGUACUGACACUGAGGAGCGAAAGCGUGGGUAGCAAACAGGAUUAGAUACCCUGGUAGUCCACGCCGUAAACGUUGGGCACUAGGUGUGGGUCACAACCAACGUGAUCUGUGCCGUAGCUAACGCAUUAAGUGCCCCGCCUGGGGAGUACGGCCGCAAGGCUAAA